This is a long non-coding RNA of Diceros bicornis minor, 531 nucleotides long. RefSeq lists it as uncharacterized. The transcript is spliced from 3 exons. NCBI's taxonomy places the organism in Eukaryota, Metazoa, Chordata, Mammalia, Perissodactyla, Rhinocerotidae. The record is from RefSeq and is a predicted model, not a curated record.
CCUGACAGAGCGGCAAAGCUGGACAGACUCCAUCAGGAUUAAAGGCAGCGGCGACGCCAAGACCGAGGUGGUGGUGUUCUUUGUAAGGCCAUUCGGGAUGAGGUCCCCAGCGAGAUGGUCAAAAGGAAACCUACUUAGAGGAUUUUAAGCCACAGUUUGAAAGGCAAUAAAAGGAAGCACCAGCCAGUGAAAUGAGAUCUAGGCCACUCACCUGGAGGUUAAAUGUCACGUUCAUCUCAUGCAGGGAAAUUAAAAUACUUGCCAAUGACCUAAAAUGUGUCUACCCUUCAGGGCAAAGAGAGGAAGACUGUGAGAGUGAUUACGUGACUGUGCGAUUGUAUUCAAAUGUUCCUAAGACUUCAUUUAUGCAGCUCUCCACGUGCACUUCCCCCGACACCCUUUACCUAAUUCCAUGUCUGAAGUUCACCAUGGGGAGUGAAGCGAGAUGAGGACACAGGCUCCGAGGGGUGGGCCUGUGGGAGUGGCCGUUUUUGUACAAAGCUGUAACAUUGUGGGGACAGCAGGGCCACG